UACGGAGGGUGCAAGCGUUAUCCGGAUUUAUUGGGUUUAAAGGGUCCGCAGGCGGACUAGUAAGUCAGGGGUGAAAUCCGGCAGCUCAACUGUCGAACUGCCUUUGAAACUGCUGGUCUUGAGUGAGAAUGAAGCAGCUGGAAUGUGUGGUGUAGCGGUGAAAUGCAUAGAUAUCACACAGAACACCGAUUGCGAAGGCAGCACACUAAGUCAUUAUUGACGCUGAGGCACGAAAGUGUGGGGAUCAAA
Molecule: ribosomal RNA, 249 nt
Filed under: uncultured prokaryote
Description: partial 16S ribosomal RNA
Rfam family: Bacterial small subunit ribosomal RNA
Source: RNAcentral